AUCGAACGCUGGCGGCAGGCCUAACACAUGCAAGUCGAGCGGAAGAAGGGAGCUUGCUCCUGGAUUCAGAGGCGGACGGGUGUGUAAUGCCUAGGAAUAUGCCUGGUAGUGGGGGAUAACGUCCGGAAACGGGCGCUAAUACCGCAUACGUCCUGAGGGAGAAAGUGGGGGAUGUUCGGACCUCACGCUAUCAGAUGAACCUAGGUCGGUUUAGCUAGUUGGUGGGGUAAAGGCCUACCAAGGCGGCGAUUCGUAACUGGUCUGCGUGGAUGAUCAGUCACACUGGAGGUGAGACGCGGACAAUGGUCCUACGGGAGGCAGCAGUGGGGAAUGGUGGACAAUGGUCGAAAGCCUGAUCCAGCCAUGCCACGUGUGUGAAGAAGGUCUUCGGAUUGGAAAGAAGUUUAAGUUGUGGGGAAGGGCAGUAAGUUAAUACCUUGCUGUUGUGACGGUACCAACAGAAUAAGCACCGGCUAACUACGUG
This 484-nucleotide ribosomal RNA is filed under the name uncultured bacterium. RNAcentral's name for it is "partial 16S ribosomal RNA". It matches the Rfam family "Bacterial small subunit ribosomal RNA", at positions 30 to 507 of the family's 1533-position model. The record is from RNAcentral.